AAUAAAGUGCCUGAAAAAGGGUUAUUCUGAUAGAAUAAAUUAUGCAAAAUUUGCCUUUAUUG
This 62-nucleotide transfer RNA is filed under the name Batracomorphus fuscomaculatus. RNAcentral describes it as "tRNA-Ile". Lineage: Eukaryota; Metazoa; Arthropoda; Insecta; Hemiptera; Cicadellidae. The record is from RNAcentral.